UACAGAGGUCUCAAGCGUUGUUCGGAUUCAUUGGGCGUAAAGGGUGCGUAGGCGGCGCGGUAAGUCGGGUGUGAAAUCUUGGGGCUUAACUCCGAAACUGCACUCGAUACUGCCGUGCUUGAGGACUGGAGAGGAGACUGGAAUUUACGGUGUAGCGGUGAAAUGCGUAGAUAUCGUAAGGAAGACCAGUGGCGAAGGCGGGUCUCUGGACAGUUCCUGACGCUGAGGCACGAAGGCUAGGGGAGCAAACGGG
This 253-nucleotide ribosomal RNA is filed under the name uncultured bacterium. RNAcentral's name for it is "partial 16S ribosomal RNA". It matches the Rfam family "Bacterial small subunit ribosomal RNA", at positions 524 to 776 of the family's 1533-position model. The record is from RNAcentral.